GUGGGUAUAACUCAGUGGUAGAGUGUAUGCUUAGCAUGCACAAGGUCCUGGGUUCAAUCCCCAGUACCUCCA
This 72-nucleotide transfer RNA is filed under the name Camelus bactrianus (Bactrian camel). It matches the Rfam family "tRNA". From Rfam's summary of the family: Transfer RNA (tRNA) molecules are approximately 80 nucleotides in length. Their secondary structure includes four short double-helical elements and three loops (D, anti-codon, and T loops). The record is from Rfam by way of RNAcentral. Lineage: Eukaryota; Metazoa; Chordata; Mammalia; Artiodactyla; Camelidae. RNAcentral also lists the same sequence under 1 other name.